CGCGCAGGUGGAUUAGCAAGUCAGAGGUGAAAUCCUACAGCUUAACUGUAGAACUGCCUUUGAAACUUGUUAGUCUUGAGUACGGAAGAGAGAAGCGGAAUUCCAGGUGUAGCGGUGAAAUACGUAGAUAUCUGGAAGAACACCAGUUGCGAAGGCGGCUUCUUGGUCCGUCACUGACGCUGAGGCGCGAAAGCGUGGGGAGCAAACA
RNAcentral lists this ribosomal RNA (208 nucleotides) under uncultured bacterium. RNAcentral's name for it is "partial 16S ribosomal RNA". It matches the Rfam family "Bacterial small subunit ribosomal RNA", at positions 568 to 774 of the family's 1533-position model. The record is from RNAcentral.